UCUCUCUCUCUCUCUCUCUCCCCGUUCCCUAACCCUCUCUCUCCCGAUCUCUGCUCCCGAUUCUCCUUUUUCCCUACCUCACCUGCUCCAUCUCUCUCAUUCUCCUCCCUCGAUCUCUCCAAUGCAGUCGUGAAUCUCCUCCCCAAAUCACAGCCCUUGCCCUUCUCAAAAUUGCAACCUCUGCUCAAAUCACCUACCCAAAUCGUAAUCCCAACUCGAUCUCACUGUCGCUGCCGUAGAGGAUAAAACCCCCUCAAACCUGCCUACCCCUGCUGCUCCAUCUUUCUCGUUCUCCUCCCUUUCUCUCCAAUAUCUCCGCCGUCUCUUCUAUCUCUCUCCAUUGCAGCAGCCGUGAAGAUCCUACCCGAAGAAACACACGCCAUUCGAAACCCUUCUCAUAUCUUUGAGGCAUAGGUGGAACUGUUAGUUAUCAUAUUACCAUGAUGCAGGCUUUACUGCUAUCAAUGGAUCAAUACCUCCAGGGUUUGUUUGUUCUCGCUCAUGUCCCAUCUGCAGAUGUGUAAAAAUUGCACCAAGUCGAUGAGAGAUGAUGGAGGAAUUAAUGUGAUCAAGAAAAGCCAUCAAGAAGCUAGGCUUGCGACACAAGGAACACAUUUCUGCAUAUGGAAAAGGCAAUGAAAGAAGAUUGACGGGUCGUCAUGAAACUACAGAUAUCCUCACAUUUUCUUGGGUAAAGAUAUUGGCCGGAGCGGUGUUUGGUUCAAAAUAAUUUGAUAUUGGCUGCUAUUCAUGGUGGUCCGCACUUGGUGAACAACCCCAAAAUGAGCCCUUCGCUGAUGAUAUUCCACAGUUUGAGGUCCCUAUUGCUGUGAUCCAUCCUGUUCCAAGUCCAGUAAGAAAUGAAAGUAUUUUUAUUUCUCUUGAUGUGGGCUCAUCUGUUCUGCAUUUUUCAGCUAAGACACAUCAUUCGUUCUCCUUCUUACAAUUAGGAUACAAAGAUACUCCAAAUAGUUAACACAUUUGCAUUGUAUAUCAUCCUAUACUUCAAUUUCAAGUGUAAAUAUGAAACUCAUGGCAUAUCAAUGUUGCAAGUGGUACAAUAGACCAGUCGGUGCCGUGUGUGAGGUUCCAAAGGGAGCCACAGGGGUCGUUUAAUGACUGAUGCUAUGCAUUUCAGCGGUUGGUAGUUUCUUUCCAGCUGGCAACCAAUCACAUCCAGAAAGCACUUAAAUUUUUAAUUGAUUGUUUUGUUUGCUUCUCCAACUGGAAAUUGGCACUGUUUAUGGUCAUCAAUCAUUAUAUAGCCCAUGUUGCAUGAGAAUGCCAUUAACACUUAAAGAAAGAAGGCAAAUGGAAUGCUUCAAUUGUGUCUACUUCCCUAACUGUCAAAAAAUGUUUGUGAAUGAAGAG
This is a long non-coding RNA of Magnolia sinica, 1371 nucleotides long. RefSeq lists it as uncharacterized. Lineage: Eukaryota; Viridiplantae; Streptophyta; Magnoliopsida; Magnoliales; Magnoliaceae. The transcript is spliced from 4 exons. The record is from RefSeq and is a predicted model, not a curated record.